GGGGAUAAAUAAAUUCAACUCUUACCGGAAUCUGGGGGGCGUCUGCGAGAGACCGGGGGAAAGGGGGGCCGGGCGCCCAUUCCCCACUCCCCACUCCUAGGCCCUGACGCCCCUGUCCCGGCAGCCCGGGCCUGCCGCCCCGCGGGAGAGCCUCCGGGCCGGCGCGGGAUUCGGCCCCGCAGCGCCGCUGUCCCACCUGGAGGCCCCGGGGGACUCGAGGGGGCGCGCGGAGGCCCGGGGUGCGGGGGCAGGGCGCGGCCCCCGUGGGGCCUACCGGCCCGAGGCCUACCGGCGCCCCCCCAUCUCGCCGCACACCCCCACCUGGCCCGCGCAGGCCGCACCGCUCGCCCCACUCCGGCUCCGGCUGGACCCCUGCCCGCCCGCCGUCGCCGCCCGCGGGCGCCCCAGAGGCCCUCAGGCCCCCGGCCUCCACCACCCGGGCGCCGGCCCCACUCACCCUUUCAUUCUCCGCCCGGGGCCUGGCGUGGGCCGGCGAAUCCCCGGCCUCACAUCAGAGUGAGAGGCGCUGGCAAUGGACUAGGAAGCUCGGCUGCCGCUGCUACUGCUCCCCCCUGGGCUCCGGCGAGAGCCUUUCCCUGUCAAGCAAGAGGGGUGAGGAUCAUAUUUUUAUUUUGGAAACUAAAAAGUGCUCCCAGGGUCGGUGAUUAUUAAGGGGAAAUCCCUGAAUAUACUCUCCAGCCAAGAAGGCAGGGCUGCCGGGGCUGUACAAGAAGAGGCAGCAGCCUCCUACAGCACCACUACAGGCACUGCGAGGACAUAACACCAGAGAGCUGCUCCUCUGCCCUCCGAAACGACAACUUUCCUACCAUCUUGGAGGCAGAGCAAAGGGGGGCCAGGGGGAAAAGUGCACCCGCUCCCGAUAAAGUACAAAUUUUUACUCCUCAUCUCUGGAAAAAAGUCCACACCGGCAGUCUACACCGGCGCCUGGGGGAGAAAGCAGGGAAGAAACUGGGGGUGCAUGAGAAACGUUUUCAUUUGCUCCAGGGGGAAAAAUGUUUCUGCAUCUUCUGAUGGAAAGAAAUCAUUACAAGACACAGGUUUUCCGGUGAUUACUGUUUUCUGUUUUCUAAUUUUUUUCAUGUUAGUGACAGUGAUAUUUUAAUAUUUUUUCAGGCCAAUAAUAAUCUUUCUCCAUUACAGGGCUAAGUUCUGUGGCUGGUGGUCAGUUUGUAAAUUUGUACUUAAAGAGACUUAAUAGUAACUUCAUUUAUUUGUCUAGUUAUGUUAUUGUAUAUAUAAAUAUUUACAUGUUUUCAUAUAUUGCAUAUGAAAAUUUGUUACAUGUUACUCUCAAAACUGAGAUUGCUGUAAGACUAAUUGUAAAAAACAUGUCUUUCGUCUCUGUCUCAAAGCAAUGUAAAUAAAACCUAUGGACUGUCCA
This 1402-nucleotide long non-coding RNA is filed under the name Theropithecus gelada (gelada). Its description in RNAcentral is "lncRNA (ENSTGEG00000003262.1)". Lineage: Eukaryota; Metazoa; Chordata; Mammalia; Primates; Cercopithecidae. The record is from RNAcentral.